This 254-nucleotide ribosomal RNA is filed under the name uncultured bacterium. Its description in RNAcentral is "partial 16S ribosomal RNA". It matches the Rfam family "Bacterial small subunit ribosomal RNA", at positions 524 to 776 of the family's 1533-position model. The record is from RNAcentral.
GACGUAGGGCGCGAGCGUUGUCCGGAUUUAUUGGGCGUAAAGAGCUCGUAGGCGGUUGGGCAAGUCACGUGUGAAAUCUCCACGCUCAACGUGGAGGCGCCACGUGAGACUGCCCUGACUCGAGUCCGGUAGGGGAGCGUGGAAUUCCCGGUGUAGCGGUGAAAUGCGCAGAGAUCGGGAGGAACACCCGUAGCGAAGGCGGCGCUCUGGGCCGGUACUGACGCUGAGGAGCGAAAGCGUGGGGAGCAAACAGG